CCUACGGGUGGCAGCAGUGGGGAAUAUUGGACAAUGGGCGAAAGCCUGAUCCAGCCAUGCCGCGUGUGUGAAGAAGGCCUUCGGGUUGUAAAGCACUUUCAGUGGGGAAGAAAGCCUUGGGGCUAAUACCCUCGAGGAAGGACAUCACCCACAGAAGAAGCACCGGCUAACUCCGUGCCAGCAGCCGCGGUAAUACGGAGGGUGCGAGCGUUAAUCGGAAUUACUGGGCGUAAAGCGCGCGUAGGCGGUCUGAUAAGCCGGUUGUGAAAGCCCCGGGCUCAACCUGGGAACGGCAUCCGGAACUGUCAGGCUAGAGUGCAGGAGAGGGAGGUAGAAUUCCCGGUGUAGCGGUGAAAUGCGUAGAGAUCGGGAGGAAUACCAGUGGCGAAGGCGGCCUUCUGGACUGACACUGACGCUGAGGUGCGAAAGCGUGGGUAGCAAACAGGAUUAGAUACCCGGGUAGUC
This 465-nucleotide ribosomal RNA is filed under the name Vreelandella stevensii. Its description in RNAcentral is "partial 16S ribosomal RNA". It matches the Rfam family "Bacterial small subunit ribosomal RNA", at positions 338 to 795 of the family's 1533-position model. The record is from RNAcentral. Lineage: Bacteria; Pseudomonadati; Pseudomonadota; Gammaproteobacteria; Oceanospirillales; Halomonadaceae.